AACGAACGCUGGCGGCGUGCCUAACACAUGCAAGUCGAACGUGAUCCGGAGCUUGCUCCGGUGAAAGUGGCGCACGGGUGAGUAACGCGUGGGAACCUGCCCAAAGGUAAGGAAUAACCGCGGGAAACUGCGGCUAAUACCUUAUGCUCCCUUCGGGGGAAAGAUUUAUCGCCUUUGGAUGGGCCCGCGUCGGAUUAGCUAGUUGGUGAGGUAACGGCUCACCAAGGCGACGAUCCGUAGCUGGUCUGAGAGGAUGAUCAGCCACACUGGGACUGAGACACGGCCCAGACUCCUACGGGAGGCAG
Molecule: ribosomal RNA, 305 nt
Filed under: uncultured Pseudomonadota bacterium
Lineage: Bacteria; Pseudomonadati; Pseudomonadota
Description: bacterial SSU rRNA
Rfam family: Bacterial small subunit ribosomal RNA
Source: RNAcentral